CCUACGGGGGGCAGCAGUAGGGAAUAUUGCUCAAUGGGGGAAACCCUGAAGCAGCAACGCCGCGUGGAGGAUGAAGGUUUUCGGAUUGUAAACUCCUUUUGUUAGAGAAGAUAAUGACGGUAUCUAACGAAUAAGCACCGGCUAACUCCGUGCCAGCAGCCGAGGUAAUACGGAGGGUGCAAGCGUUACUCGGAAUCACUGGGCGUAAAGAGCGCGUAGGCGGGAUAGCAAGUCAGAUGUGAAAUGCUAUGGCUUAACCAUAAAAUUGCAUUUGAAACUGUUAUUCUAGAGUAUGGGAGAGGUAGGUGGAAUUCGUGGUGUAGGGGUAAAAUCCUUAGAGAUCAAGAAGAAUACUCAUUGCGAAGGCAACCUGCUAGAACGUAACUGACACUGAUGCGCGAAAGCGUGGGGAGCAAACAGGAUUAGAUACCCUAGUAGUC
Molecule: ribosomal RNA, 440 nt
Filed under: uncultured bacterium
Lineage: Bacteria
Description: partial 16S ribosomal RNA
Rfam family: Bacterial small subunit ribosomal RNA
Source: RNAcentral